UACGGGGGGAGCAAGCGUUGUUCGGAUUUACUGGGCGUAAAGGGCGCGUAGGCGGCCUCCGCACGUCAGUUGUGAAAUCUCCGAGCUUAACUCGGAAAGGUCAACUGAUACUGCGGGGCUAGGGUGCGGAAGGGGCAACUGGAAUUCUUGGUGUAGCGGUGAAAUGCGUAGAUAUCAAGAGGAACACCUGCGGCGAAGGCGGGUUGCUGGGCCGACACUGACGCUGAGGCGCGAAAGCUAGGGGAGCGAACGGG
RNAcentral lists this ribosomal RNA (254 nucleotides) under uncultured bacterium. Its description in RNAcentral is "partial 16S ribosomal RNA". It matches the Rfam family "Bacterial small subunit ribosomal RNA", at positions 524 to 776 of the family's 1533-position model. The record is from RNAcentral.